Long non-coding RNA from Etheostoma cragini (Arkansas darter), 865 nucleotides. RefSeq lists it as uncharacterized. The transcript is spliced from 4 exons. Lineage: Eukaryota; Metazoa; Chordata; Actinopteri; Perciformes; Percidae. The record is from RefSeq and is a predicted model, not a curated record.
AUACGCUUCUUUCACCACAGCAUUUUGGCAACAUGUGCAAACUCACUCUAACUGCAGGUCUCUGUUUGAUCAUCGCCAGCUUGGGAUAUCCUGGCCUCACGAAUACAGCUGCAGUGCCUCCAAACUUCUGUGAUGGAAAGAGCAAUGGGCAAUACACCAACCCUGCUGACCCACAUUCUUUUUACAAUUGUUGGGAUGGAGGAACCUACCUCCAAAAGUGCCAAAAUAAUCUGGUCUUUAACCAACAAUGCAGCUGCUGUGACUAUACUGUGUCUCCACCUACCACAACCUCAACUCCCCCUACUGCAACUACAACUCCACCUACUAAAACUCCAACUCCAACACCUCUUGAUAACUUUUGUAAUGUAAAGAGCAAUGGGCAAUACACCUACCCUGCUGAUCCACAUUCUUUUUACAAUUGUUGGGAUGGAAGAACCUACCUCCAAAAGUGCCAAAAUAAUCUGGUCUUUGACCAACAAUGCAGCUGCUGUGACUAUGAUGUAACUCCCCCUACCACAACUUCAUCUCCACCUACUACAACUACAGUAAAGGGCUGUAAUGGAUUGUGUCUUGGAUAGAGUGUGACUAUCCUGAAAACACCUACUGAUAACUUCUUUAAUGAAAGAGCAAUGGGCAAUACUCUGCCCCUGCUGACCAACAUUCUUUAUACAUUUUUGGUAAUGGAAUAGCCUACUUUCAAUACUUCUCGUCGUAGUUUGUCUUUAACCAUAACUGUAACUGCUGUGACUAUCCCACAAAGAACACACCUACACAUAUUGAUAACUUCUGUAAUUGACAGAAAGGGAACUUCAACAAGCUCCACCUACCAGGGUGACAAACAAGCUUUGUACGGGUGACAGAGGCA